GGAUGGCGGGGUGGGGGGCCAGAGCGCCCGCAGGCGUGUACGGCAGAAACCAGGGCCUGAGAGGAGAACGGAGAGCGUCCCACUGGAGAAACAGCGGACGUGGAGGGGAAGAAGGCCCAGAGGCGCUUCUCCGGAGCCCGCCACGGCGCCAGUGUCUCCUCAUGUGCCCCUCGGAAGCCUGUUGAGAAACGAGUGAAGACGACACAUCACUAAGAUGAAUGGAUAUCAAAACACCAGCCUUGCCACAGAUAAAAGCUAGUAGGAGGAUGUGGCUUAGAUCUGCAAUCAAGAGAGCUGCUGAUCAACCCCUAAAUCAGACAAACAUACCUGGACAACUGCAGCCUCUGGGCUACAGAGCUGCCCCACCAGGCACCAGUCAGCCAAGUGCGGAUGAGAUGCCCAUCAACCUACAGACUCCACAAAGUUGGCCCAGAGGAGGCUGAGCACACUUGACCCUGUCUGUUCUCCCAAAUUCACCACUUCAUACUUCCCUGGGAGUAGAAAAGAGGCUGGAAGUUUCUUCCAGGAAAGUCCCUCCAUGUGGAAACAAAGAGUGGGAAUAAGGGUUCCACCCUACAUGGACAUCUCAAACUCUGAGUCUUACCAUGCUAAAGGAGGGAGGAAGUUUCAACUGGAGCAGAGUUUGAGUUUUGAUAUUUUAUUGGACUGGAUUUUUUAUGAGCAAAAUAAUAACCCUCUCCUUUUUAUCUAAGAAGGAAGGAAAAACCUGUAAAAUCCAACUGAGAAUUCAUACAUAAGAGUUUCUAAAGGCACUCAUGAGAAAAAAGAAUGCUUCUCUCUUCUUGCACUCUACCAGUUCCAGCUUGUUCAAUAAACUGGAUACAAAAGACUCCCAGGUUUUUGGCCUGGACCACUGAGCAUGUGAUGGUGACAUUUACGGAAAUAGGGAAGGUUUGGGGGAAAAUUUCAGCUUAGAUUGGGGACAUGUUAAGACAUUCAAGUGGAUGUGCUGAGUAGGCUGGUAUUCAGGAGAAAAGACAAGGCUAGAGAGAGAAAUUUGGUAGCCAUCUGUUUUCAGGUAAUGUUUGAAAACAAAGUUGGAUGAGAUCAACUAAGGAGUGAGUAUUCCAACAAGAAGAGUUUCCAGGAUGAGUCCUGGGGCACCAACUGUUUCUAGUCUAGAGGAGAAGGAGUGGCCAGAGAGAGGAGAAGAAGCCAGGGACUGUGGAAUCAGGGAAGCCAGGUGAAGACGUGGUGAUCUGUACAGAGGUUUUAGAAGUAUUGCAAAGUGAGGUCUGAGAAUUGAUGAUUAGAUGUGGCAAGACAAUUUAUUGGUGACUGACAAGAGCAAUCACAGGAAACAUGAGAAAAGCCCCGUGGCAGAGUUGGUUUUUUUUUUUUAAAGGGAAAUUUCCAGUUAAACAUGUCAGAUGGCACAGGCGUUGACUUCCAUUUCCCACCCAAACCCUACUCACAUAAAUUAAUAAAUGAGAUAAAAACUCACAGGGAAAGAAUGGGAGAGAAGGCACCAGUAAGGUCAGACCAGAAAGGUCAACAAGAUUAUAGAGCCUGGGAAUGUAAAGUAAUAACUGACUCAGCAAGCCAGAGAAAGCUGAAGUCUUUUUGUGGGGGUGAAACCAUAAAGAGACCAUUCUUGCCAACAAAUCCCAGGAAGGUGUAGAAACUGGAAGAACUGGUAGAAAGUUGAAUAAGGAGCAGUGUGAUGAUAGAUCCUUUGCCCCACUUUGGUGGAAGCCUGCAGCAGUUGAGUCAGUUGAAUUCAUGCACAAGGCAAUAGCUGAGGGCCACUGAAAGCACUGGACUUGAGUGAAAGUUUAUACUCCUGUAGGAGCCCAGUCCCACUUCUCCCAGUCAGCCAUAUAGCUUCAGGCAGUAGGAGGAUUUCUCUGAAGCAAGAGGCCCCCAAAAAAGACCUGCACACAUUGGCCAACUUGGACCCAGUGGAAAAGCAGAGAAGCUGGCAGGCUGUAUUCUUGACACACAGCUUCCAACAAGCUUCUCAGAGCCCCACUGUCAACAUAAGCCAAGCAUUUAAGGAAAACCUCUACCACAAAAGACAGCAAAACACACAGAAACAGGAAACUUUGAGAAAUGGAGAUGAUAUAAGGUGUGGAAGAGGACUUUUGACAAAAACAUGUGCUCACAGAAAUAGGCUUUUGCACCCAUGAAACAAGAACCAUCUGACACACUCUUUCCCUCCCUGCCUUAUUUUUCUCCCUGUUUAUCACCAACUAGCAUACCAAAUAUUUUGCAUAUUUAUCUUGUUUACUGCCUGUCUAAAAUAUAAGCCAAGCAAAGGCUGAAAUUUAUUUGUUGCCGUAUCCUCAGCACCUGGAAUAAUACCUGGCAUAUAGUAAAUACUCCAAAAUGAUAUACUGAAUAAAUGGACGAAUGAACAGGAGUCUCUAAAUAGAAAACAUUACGAAAAAAGACUCAGAAAUGAAAAAUAUGGCAGACUUUAAAAGUCACUAGAAUAGGAAGAUAGAGAAAUUUUAGGAUAGUUGGAUAAAAAGGAUGUAAAAAAAAAUGAAGAGAAAAGAAAAUUAGAGGAUCAAUCCAGGUGGUCAGGCAUCUGAAUAUUAGGAGUUCCAAAGGGAAAUAAUGGAGAGGAAGAAUAUAUUAAAUAAUUCCAAAAAAUUCCCAGAAUUGGAUAAUUUUCCAAGUUGAAAAAGCACAGCAGAUUGUUUUCCAAAGAUGCCUGCAACACCUCCCAUCUCACGUGCUCCUCUACAAUGUGGUCUUAAACCUUCGUCCCCAUUGAGAAAUGGGAUCUAUGUCCCAUCCCUUGAAUCUGUGAACUGCUUGUGACUGAUACAAUGCAGUGGAAGUGGUCCUGCACUAGUUCCAAAACUGGGCUUGUGUUUUGCUCACUGGGGCACUUGUGUUUGGAGCCCUGAGAUGCCCUGUAAGAAGUCUGACACCUGAGGCCACCUUGCUGUGAGAAAGCCAACCCAUGUGGAGAGGUCAUAUAUAGCUACUCAGGUUGAAAGUCCCAGAUGAGUCCCCUGCCAACAGGGCAACAUUACCUGCCAGCCAUGUGAGUGAGCUAUCUUGGACAUCCAGCCUACUCAAGCCCUCAGUUGACUGCAGCCCAGGGAAUACUUGACUGCAACUGCAUGAGAGAUCCCAAGAGAAAGCUGCCCAGCUGAAUCCUUCCCAGAUUUAAGCUAUUUGGGGUAGUCUGGGCUUGGGGGUAGUUUGUUACACAGCAAUAACUACUGGAAGAAAGCAUUACUAAGUGCUUUUUGUGUACUAAGCACAAUAAAUUGGGCAGGAGAGUAGGGGAGGGAGACCAACACAUCAAGCAUGUUGUUGAAAAAUUUGAGAAUACCAGGUAUAGAAAUGAUCUUAAAAACCUCCAGCAACAAAAAAUAAAAACACAGGGAAUGGUUUCCAAUCUAGAAUUCUACUUCCAUUCAAACAAUGAAUCAAAUAUAAGGGUAGAAAUAAAGACGUUUUAGAUGUGCAAGCUCAGAAGGAUGCUAGAAGAUGGGCUCCAUCAAAGAGAAAGCAAACCAGGGAAGACGAAUAUAAAUGACUCAGAAUCCAGGAAAUGUUCAAGCUGAGGCAGAAAAACAGGUUUCCCAGAGGGUCAUCUCCAAAAGAAAGUGGAGCAGCACAUGACAGUGUUAGGAGCUUUACACCUAGGACGGAGAGUUUUGGGUGAAGUAGUGAUAGGAACACAGAAAACCAUACAAAUGAAAAAACUAGGCAAUUGACUCCAGGAAAAACUGAAAAUUGUACCUAAAGGAAAUGUAAUCAUAAACCAAUACAGGGCUCAAGAGCAAACAGUAUUAAUAUAGUCAUACUGAACUCUGCAGAUUUCAGUCAACAUUAUAUUAAACUGUUUUGGGAGACUAGUAGGAGAGGAAAUGUAGAUAUGUAUGUGUGGGUGAUAGAUGUUGCAGAGAGGGUAGUAUGAGAGAGCUAACUCCUCUUCCAUCGUAGGAAAUCAACAAUGCCUAACAUCAAGAUUAAGAAAUAGCAUUAUUUAAGUCUUUAUUGAUAAACAUGAAGUUAAUCAGUGAAGAAAUCCCUAAAAGAGUUGAAUAUUUGUUUGGGGGAAGCAGGGAUUGGCUAGUAGAUUUGGUGAUGGUGGUGGGAUGAAGUUCUUAGUGCUUUUGUUUUCACAGAAAUAAGAAGCAAGGUCAUUAUCUAAGAAUGUUGGAGUUUUGAAGAGGAUGAGAAGUUAUGAAAUAGUCUGUUGGAGAGUCUAGGGGAUAUAGGAUUAUACUAGGGAGACGCCAAGUGCUAAUUUAAGAUUGGUGGUCAUACUCAGUGUCAAGUCUAUUAAUACCUCUUUCUGUAUA
Equus caballus (horse) is the source of this 4292-nucleotide long non-coding RNA. RefSeq lists it as uncharacterized. The record is from RefSeq and is a predicted model, not a curated record. Lineage: Eukaryota; Metazoa; Chordata; Mammalia; Perissodactyla; Equidae.